CAAUAGCGUAUAUUAAAGUUGUUGCGGUUAAAAAGCUCGUAGUUGGAUUUCUGCCGAGGACGACCGGUCCGCCCUCUGGGUGAGUAUCUGGCUCGGCCUGGGCAUCUUCUUGGAGAACGUAACUGCACUUGACUGUGUGGUGCGGUAUCCAGGACUUUUACUUUGAGGAAAUUAGAGUGUUUCAAGCAGGCAUACGCCUUGAAUACAUUAGCAUGGAAUAAUAAGAUAGGACCUCGGUUCUAUUUUGUUGGUUUCUAGAGCUGAGGUAAUGAUUAAUAGGGAUAGUUGGGGGCAUUCGUAUUUAACUGUCAGAGGUGAAAUUCUUGGAUUUGUUAAGAACGGACUACUAGCGAAGACGAUUGUCCAACGGAAGUGUUUUCUUAUUGUAAUCAAGAACGAAAGUUAGGGGAUCGAAGAUGAUUAGAUACCGU
This 431-nucleotide ribosomal RNA is filed under the name uncultured eukaryote. RNAcentral's name for it is "SSU rRNA". It matches the Rfam family "Eukaryotic small subunit ribosomal RNA", at positions 592 to 1018 of the family's 1831-position model. The record is from RNAcentral.